CCUACGGGGGGCAGCAGGCGCGCAAACUUUACAAUGCGAGCAAUCGUGAUAAGGAAACCCUGAGUGCCUGUCGAUGCAGGCUGUUCAUAUAUCUAAAUCAUAUGUGAAGAAAGGGCAGGGCAAGACCGGUGCCAGCCGCCGCGGUAAUACCGGCUGCUCGAGUGAUGGCCACUAUUACUGGGUUUAAAGCGUCCGUAGCUUGACUGUUAGGUCUCUUGGGAAAUCUUCACGCUCAACGUGAAGGCGUCUAAGAGAUACCGGCAGUCUUGGAACUGGGAGAGGUAAACCGUACUUCGGGGG
RNAcentral lists this ribosomal RNA (300 nucleotides) under uncultured Methanocorpusculum sp. RNAcentral describes it as "bacterial SSU rRNA". It matches the Rfam family "Archaeal small subunit ribosomal RNA", at positions 322 to 626 of the family's 1478-position model. Lineage: Archaea; Methanobacteriati; Methanobacteriota; Methanomicrobia; Methanomicrobiales; Methanocorpusculaceae. The record is from RNAcentral.